Molecule: small RNA, 494 nt
Filed under: Caenorhabditis elegans
Lineage: Eukaryota; Metazoa; Nematoda; Chromadorea; Rhabditida; Rhabditidae
Description: Unclassified non-coding RNA Y105E8A.53
Source: RNAcentral
GUCUCCCGGAUCACAUAUCCCGUAUGGUAUCACCAUCGGACUCGCCACAUCAUGCCACGUCAUCUUCAACACUGAAUGGUGCAAAUUCGAUGAGUUCGUUGUAUGUUCAAUUGUAAGUUGAACGUUUUUUAAAAAAAGUUUGAAAUUAUACCUGAAAUAAGACAUGGAAUAUUCAGAAUACUACAAGAGGCUAUAAAAAACGAAAAGAAAAAAGAAAGAUUCAACUUUUAAUAACUUAUCAAAUUAUAGCGUAUUAAUUGAAAACAUUACGAUAAUAUUUGAAGUUAGAUUUUUGAAUUUUAGACAUUUUUGAGCAUUUUUUAUAAAACGCUCCACAUUUGCUCUAUUUUAAAGCACGAUAUUCACUUUUUCAGGGACCGAAUCUACGGGAAACACGAUCUUUUCGCAAAUGAUGAAUAUCAAUCAUGGCAUGAGAAAUAUCGUCAUAAUACGCUUUCAACGAAACAGGUCAAGAAGCAGGACGCUAUUUUUGG